This 253-nucleotide ribosomal RNA is filed under the name uncultured bacterium. RNAcentral's name for it is "partial 16S ribosomal RNA". It matches the Rfam family "Bacterial small subunit ribosomal RNA", at positions 524 to 776 of the family's 1533-position model. The record is from RNAcentral.
UACGUAGGGUGCGAGCGUUGUCCGGAAUUAUUGGGCGUAAAGAGCUUGUAGGCGGUUUGUCGCGUCUGCCGUGAAAAUCCGGGGCUCAACCCCGGACUUGCGGUGGGUACGGGCAGACUAGAGUGUGGUAGGGGAGACUGGAAUUCCUGGUGUAGCGGUGAAAUGCGUAGAUAUUGGGAGGAACACCGGUGGCGAAGGCGGCCCCCUGGACCGGUACUGACGCUGAGGCGCGAAAGCGUGGGUAGCAAACGGG